RNAcentral lists this ribosomal RNA (378 nucleotides) under uncultured eukaryote. RNAcentral describes it as "partial 18S ribosomal RNA". It matches the Rfam family "Eukaryotic small subunit ribosomal RNA", at positions 592 to 975 of the family's 1831-position model. The record is from RNAcentral.
CAAUAGCGUAUAUUUAAGUUGUUGCAGUUAAAAAGCUCGUAGUUGGAUUUCGGAUGGGACUUGCCGGUCCGUCGUUUCGAUGUGCACUGGCCAGUCCUAUCUUGUUGUCGGGGACUAGCUCCUGGGCUUCACUGUCCGGGACUAGGAGCUGACGAGGUUACUUUGAGUAAAUUAGAGUGUUCAAAGCAAGCCUACGCUCUGAAUACAUUAGCAUGGAAUAACACGAUAGGACUCUGGCUUAUCUUGUUGGUCUGUGAGACCAGAGUAAUGAUUAAGAGGGACAGUCGGGGGCAUUCGUAUUUCAUUGUCAGAGGUGAAAUUCUUGGAUUUAUGAAAGACGAACUUCUGCGAAAGCAUUUGUCAAGGAUGUUUUCAUUA